GCAGUAGCGCGGUGGUCCCACCUGACCCCAUGCCGAACUCAGAAGUGAAACGCCGUAGCGCCGAUGGUAGUGUGGGGUCUCCCCAUGCGAGAGUAGGGAACUGCCAGAC
This 109-nucleotide ribosomal RNA is filed under the name Escherichia coli. Lineage: Bacteria; Pseudomonadati; Pseudomonadota; Gammaproteobacteria; Enterobacterales; Enterobacteriaceae. RNAcentral also lists the same sequence under 11 other names. The record is from RNAcentral.